CAAAUACUAGGCUAGAUUGAAUCACUCUGCAAAUACACAUCGACUGUGGUUGGUAAUAUUUGGAGUAAAAUGGUGAAAUAUAAAAAGUGGAAAUGAGAGUAAAUAAAAAGUGGGAAAGAGAAAAAAAAAUAUAAGAAACAAAGUUACUCUGGCAUCUUCAACCCAACUGCAAAACACUAUUUUAGUGUGAAUUUUACACCAAAAUUUUCUCCAACCCAACACUAAAAAUCACACAAUUUUAGUGCAACACUAUAAUUUC
RNAcentral lists this long non-coding RNA (259 nucleotides) under Brassica napus (rape). RNAcentral describes it as "long non-coding RNA (BNAP_LNC008120)". The record is from RNAcentral. Lineage: Eukaryota; Viridiplantae; Streptophyta; Magnoliopsida; Brassicales; Brassicaceae.